UACGUUUGAUGUCAAUGCUCGUUCACGUU
Molecule: small RNA, 29 nt
Filed under: Bombyx mori (domestic silkworm)
Lineage: Eukaryota; Metazoa; Arthropoda; Insecta; Lepidoptera; Bombycidae
Description: ovarian small RNA-6147
Source: RNAcentral